CGGCGAGUGAAGCGGCAAAAGCUCAAAUUUGAAAUCUGGCACUUUCAGUGUCCGAGUUGUAAUUUGAAGAAGGUAACUCUGGAGUUGGCCCUUGUCUAUGUUCCUUGGAACAGGACGUCACAGAGGGUGAGAAUCCCGUGCGAUGGGGUGUCCAAUUCUAUGUAGAGUGCUUUCGAAGAGUCGAGUUGUUUGGGAAUGCAGCUCUAAGUGGGUGGUAAAUUCCAUCUAAAGCUAAAUAUUGGCGAGAGACCGAUAGCGAACAAGUACAGUGAUGGAAAGAUGAAAAGAACUUUGAAAAGAGAGUGAAAAAGUACGUGAAAUUGUUGAAAGGGAAGGGCUUGAGAUCAGACUCGGUAUUUUGCGAUCCUAUCCUUCGUGGAGAGGUUUCAUUUGCAGCUUACCGGGCCAGCAUCGGUUUGGAUGGUAGGAUAAUGACAUUGGAAUGUGGCUCUUCGGAGUGUUAUAGCCCUUGUUGAUACUGCCUAUCUAGACCGAGGACUGCGUCUUUGACUAGGAUGCUGGCAUAAUGAUCUUAAGCCGCCCGUCUUGA
This 550-nucleotide ribosomal RNA is filed under the name Kurtzmaniella natalensis. Its description in RNAcentral is "partial large subunit ribosomal RNA". It matches the Rfam family "Eukaryotic large subunit ribosomal RNA", at positions 87 to 657 of the family's 3401-position model. The record is from RNAcentral. Lineage: Eukaryota; Fungi; Ascomycota; Pichiomycetes; Serinales; Debaryomycetaceae.